GGGCGCGUAGCUCAGCUGGUUAGAGCGCCACGUUUACACCGUGGAUGUCUGCGGUUCGAAUCCGUACGCGCCCA
Molecule: transfer RNA, 74 nt
Filed under: Treponema sp.
Lineage: Bacteria; Pseudomonadati; Spirochaetota; Spirochaetia; Treponematales; Treponemataceae
Description: tRNA-Val
Rfam family: tRNA
About the family: Transfer RNA (tRNA) molecules are approximately 80 nucleotides in length. Their secondary structure includes four short double-helical elements and three loops (D, anti-codon, and T loops). Further hydrogen bonds mediate the characteristic L-shaped molecular structure. tRNAs have two regions of fundamental functional importance: the anti-codon, which is responsible for specific mRNA codon recognition, and the 3' end, to which the tRNAs corresponding amino acid is attached (by aminoacyl-tRNA synthetases). tRNAs cope with the degeneracy of the genetic code in two manners: having more than one tRNA (with a specific anti-codon) for a particular amino acid; and 'wobble' base-pairing, i.e. permitting non-standard base-pairing at the 3rd anti-codon position.
Source: RNAcentral